CUAGCAACAGCUGCUGUGUACGUAGCUGACAUGCACAGCUUAAACCCUUAAACAAGAGCAAAAUGAAUCAUGAAGAAAUCUCUAAUACUAUUAUCCUGACUGCAAGACAAAAAUGCCACCUAUCAGAUAACUGGUACUAACUGAACAUCUUUUGCUAUGAUCAUGCUGCAGCAACAACCUCAACUUUACUUUCUUCCCUGAGACUUUUCCUGACUUUGUUGUGGGGACCUGCCCAUUAAGCACUGAAGGUCAACCUGGAUGUUUUGGUGAGUAACAUUUCAUCCUUUCCAGGGAGUCUCAGCUUCUGGAGGACAGGAGCUGAUGGAUAAAGUUUUCUCCCAGUCAACCAGUC
This 352-nucleotide long non-coding RNA is filed under the name Capra hircus (goat). Its description in RNAcentral is "lncRNA (ENSCHIG00000003526.1)". The record is from RNAcentral. Lineage: Eukaryota; Metazoa; Chordata; Mammalia; Artiodactyla; Bovidae.